AAACCGGCCCUUUUCAGGGCCACAAGAUGUACAAAUUCCGAUUGGG
Non-coding RNA from Harpegnathos saltator (Jerdon's jumping ant), 46 nucleotides. Lineage: Eukaryota; Metazoa; Arthropoda; Insecta; Hymenoptera; Formicidae. The record is from Rfam.